UACGUAGGGUGCAAGCGUUGUCCGGAAUUAUUGGGCGUAAAGAGCUCGUAGGCGGUUUGUCGCGUCGAAUGUGAAAACCCGGGGCUCAACUCCGGGCCUGCAUUCGAUACGGGCAGACUAGAGUUCGGUAGGGGAGACUGGAAUUCCUGGUGUAGCGGUGAAAUGCGCAGAUAUCAGGAGGAACACCGGUGGCGAAGGCGGGUCUCUGGGCCGAUAAUGACGCUGAGGAGCGAAAGCGUGGGGAGCGAACAGG
This 253-nucleotide ribosomal RNA is filed under the name uncultured bacterium. RNAcentral's name for it is "partial 16S ribosomal RNA". It matches the Rfam family "Bacterial small subunit ribosomal RNA", at positions 524 to 776 of the family's 1533-position model. The record is from RNAcentral.